CACGGCUCUUCUGGUAUACACACCGUCGCUGAGUAUUUCCUGUGUCUCCAGUCGUAGUUGCAUGUGUGUGUGUGUGUGUGUGUGUAUCUGUGUAUGUGUGUGUAUUGCAAGACGGCGUUGUUGCUCUCAUUCGCUUCUGGCUGUUGGUUUCUGUCUCCAGUCGAUACGGUGCCUACCCGUCGAUCCGUUUCCCCUAGCGCGCUGCCGCGUCUUUGCUAAGGUGUGUGUGCGUGUGCGUGUGCGUGUGCGUGUGCGUGUGCGUGUGCGUGUGCGUGUGCGUGUGCGUGUGCGUCUUACCUGUUUCCCUUUGAAGGAUGUAUCCAUGUUCACUUUUAGUUUUGCUGUUGACCUCUUUACCGUAUUUCGCUUUCUUCCAUGUCUUGAUGGUUGGUUGCAUGUGUGUGUGUGCGUGUGCGUGUGUGUGCGUACACAGGAGCCUGCUCCAUCCAGUCUCCCACCACCACCACUACCACCCAUCCCGCCGCCGAUGCAGUGCGCUGGUGUUGUAGUCCUUCCUCUCUCCCUUUCUCGUUGGCGUAAGAGGGCGCGUCGGGGGCGAGGGCGGUAGCCUGCGUGCGUGUGUGUGUGUGUGCGUCGAGGGAGCACUUGUUGUUGCCAUUGUGGAAAGCAAGAGGAGGGGGCAAGAGGUGUGGCGCAUGUAUGGAAAGGAGCUGUGAGACGGUGCACGUGCGCGCGUCUUCUGCGGGUAAGAGAGAGGGGGGAUAAGUAGAAGAUGGGGUUGCUGGGGGGUGUUUGCUGCUGGCGCAGAGGUCAAUGCAGCAGCAGCACGAUCUGCGCGCAAAGGCCCAUUUCUAUGCCCCUGCCCCCUCCCCCUACCGUGUUCCUCUUCCGCAGCACCGACCCGUCACUCCAUCAGCCACCAUAUAUCAUCCUCCACGAGAAUAUAUGCACGAAACCCCAGAACAAAAAAAAAUUGUUUCUGCAACAGUUGUAUAGCGGGAAGUGGUCACCACCUCCGACCCUUCGCGGCCCACUAUCAAAAGGACACGCGAACGCGAUAAUGAUAUUCCUUCAACGGAGUCUCUCUCUGGGGAGUCCUUGAGUACGCAUGCGUAUGCAAGUGCGAUCAUCGUGGAAGUGCAAUACCUGCUCCCUUGCAUCGAUCGCCAUCGUCUCCCUCUUUGUAUAGCUGCACGUGCACGUGUCUGAUGCAUCUCACGGUGUCCCCCUUCCCUCCCCCCAAACCCCUACGGCGAAGCACGAGCCGACCAGCACACGACUGCGGAGCGUGUGAUGGGCAAACGAUGAAAAGAACUGGGGGAGAAAGGCAGUAUCCUCUCUUUUACUCCCCCCCCCUUCUUCUUCCCACUCUCUCUUACUUCUCUGUCGUAACCUCACCUACCUUCCCACCCCCCGCCCACUCACGCGAACCUCCACGCCAACGCCGUCGCACGUGGGCACAUACAUGCGUUCGACUCGCAG
RNAcentral lists this unclassified non-coding RNA (1443 nucleotides) under Leishmania donovani. Its description in RNAcentral is "gene:unknown". Lineage: Eukaryota; Euglenozoa; Kinetoplastea; Trypanosomatida; Trypanosomatidae. The record is from RNAcentral.